Molecule: ribosomal RNA, 568 nt
Filed under: Bacillus sp. PASAU141
Lineage: Bacteria; Bacillati; Bacillota; Bacilli; Caryophanales; Bacillaceae
Description: bacterial SSU rRNA
Rfam family: Bacterial small subunit ribosomal RNA
Source: RNAcentral
CGUCAGCGGCGGACGGGUGAGUAACACGUGGGUAACCUGCCUGUAAGACUGGGAUAACUCCGGGAAACCGGGGCUAAUACCGGAUAUGUCUUUUCCUCGCAUGAGGAGAAGUGGAAAGAUGGCUUCGGCUAUCACUUACAGAUGGACCCGCGGCGCAUUAGCUAGUUGGUGAGGUAACGGCUCACCAAGGCGACGAUGCGUAGCCGACCUGAGAGGGUGAUCGGCCACACUGGGACUGAGACACGGCCCAGACUCCUACGGGAGGCAGCAGUAGGGAAUCUUCCGCAAUGGACGAAAGUCUGACGGAGCAACGCCGCGUGAGUGAAGAAGGUUUUCGGAUCGUAAAGCUCUGUUGUUAGGGAAGAACAAGUACCGUUCGAAUAGGGCGGUACCUUGACGGUACCUAACCAGAAAGCCACGGCUAACUACGUGCCAACAGCCGCGGGAAUACGUAGGUGGCAAGCGUUGUCCGGAAUUAUUGGGCGUAAAGCGCGCGCAGGCGGUCUCUUAAGUCUGAUGUGAAAGCCCACGGCUCAACCGUGGAGGGUCAUUGGAAACUGGGGGACUU